RNAcentral lists this ribosomal RNA (465 nucleotides) under uncultured bacterium. RNAcentral describes it as "partial 16S ribosomal RNA". It matches the Rfam family "Bacterial small subunit ribosomal RNA", at positions 338 to 795 of the family's 1533-position model. The record is from RNAcentral.
CCUACGGGGGGCAGCAGUAGGGAAUCUUCCACAAUGGGCGAAAGCCUGAUGGAGUAACGCCGCGUGGGUGAAGAAGGUCUUCGGAUCGUAAAACCCUGUUGUUAGAGAAGUAAGUGCGUGAGAGUAACUGUUCACGUUUCGACGGUAUCUAACAAGAAAGCCACGGCUAACUACGUCCCAGCAGCCGCGGUAAUACGUAGGUGGCAAGCGUUAUCCGGAUUUAUUGGGUGUAAAGGGAACGCAGGCGGUUUUUUAAGUCUGAUGUGAAAGCCUUCGGCUUAACCGGAGUAGUGCAUUGGAAACUGGGAGACUUGAGUGCAGAUGAGGAGGGUGGAACUCGAGGUGUAGCGGUGAAAUGCGUAGAUAUCUGGCAGAACACCAGUGGCGAAGGCGGCUUUCUGGCCUGUAACUGACGCUGAGGUUCGAAAGCGUGGGUAGCAAACAGGAUUAGAUACCCGAGUAGUC